RNAcentral lists this ribosomal RNA (416 nucleotides) under Parastagonospora avenae. RNAcentral describes it as "eukaryotic LSU rRNA". The stretch from base 62 to 215 matches the Rfam family "5.8S ribosomal RNA". The record is from RNAcentral. Lineage: Eukaryota; Fungi; Ascomycota; Dothideomycetes; Pleosporales; Phaeosphaeriaceae.
GGUUGGACAAUUCUAUAACCUUUUUAAUUUUCAAUCAGCGUCUGAAAAACUUAAUAAUUACAACUUUCAACAACGGAUCUCUUGGUUCUGGCAUCGAUGAAGAACGCAGCGAAAUGCGAUAAGUAGUGUGAAUUGCAGAAUUCAGUGAAUCAUCGAAUCUUUGAACGCACAUUGCGCCCCUUGGUAUUCCAUGGGGCAUGCCUGUUCGAGCGUCAUUUGUACCUUCAAGCUUUGCUUGGUGUUGGGUGUUUGUCUUCUCCCUAGUGUUUGGACUCGCCUUAAAACAAUUGGCAGCCAGUGUUUUGGUAUUGAAGCGCAGCACAAGUCGCGAUUCUAACCCAAUAACACUUGCGUCCAGAAGUCUUUUUUCACUUUUGACCUCGGAUCAGGUAGGGAUACCCGCCUGAACUUAAGCA